This 253-nucleotide ribosomal RNA is filed under the name uncultured Pseudomonadaceae bacterium. RNAcentral's name for it is "partial 16S ribosomal RNA". It matches the Rfam family "Bacterial small subunit ribosomal RNA", at positions 524 to 776 of the family's 1533-position model. The record is from RNAcentral. Lineage: Bacteria; Pseudomonadati; Pseudomonadota; Gammaproteobacteria; Pseudomonadales; Pseudomonadaceae.
UACAUAGGGGGCGAGCGUUAUCCGGAAUUAUUGGGCGUAAAGCGCGCGUAGGUGGUUCGGUAAGAUGGAAGUGAAAGCCCCGGGCUCAACCUGGGAACUGCUUUCAUAACUGCCGAGCUAGAGUACGGUAGAGGGUAGUGGAAUUUCCUGUGUAGCGGUGAAAUGCGUAGAUAUAGGAAGGAACACCAGUGGCGAAGGCGACUACCUGGACUGAUACUGACACUGAGGUGCGAAAGCGUGGGGAGCAAACAGG